AGGCAGCAGUGAGGAAUAUUGCGCAAUGGCCGAAAGGCUGACGCAGCGACGCCGCGUGAGGGAUGAAGUCCGUUUGGAUGUAAACCUCUUUUGUGAGGGAUGAAUAGGCCCGCUCGCCGGGCUUUGACCGUACCUCGCGAAUAAGGGUCGGCCAACUACGUGCCAGCAGCCGCGGUAAUACGUAGGACCCGAGCGUUGUCCGGAAUUACUGGGUGUAAAGGGCGUGUAGGUGGGUCGCUAAGUCGGUGGUGAAAUCCUGCAGCUUAACUGCAGAACUGCCUCCGAUACUGGCGGUCUUGAGUGCGGCAGAGGGAGAUGGAAUUCAUGGUGUAGCGGUGAAAUGUGUAGAUAUCAUGAAGAACACCGGUUGCGAAGGCGAUCUCCUGGUCCGCUACUGACACUGAGGCGCGAAAGCGUGGGGAGCAAACAGGAUUAGAUACCCUGGUAGUCCACGCCUUAAACGAUGGGUACUAGGUGCUGGGCCGUAAGGUUCAGUGCCAAAGCUAACGCAUUAAGUACCCCACCUGGGGAGUACGAUCGCAAGGUUGAAACUUAAAGGAAUUGACGG
Molecule: ribosomal RNA, 568 nt
Filed under: uncultured bacterium
Lineage: Bacteria
Description: bacterial SSU rRNA
Rfam family: Bacterial small subunit ribosomal RNA
Source: RNAcentral